AUUCAAUUUGGAAUAAGUGCUAACCAACGAACACACCAACUUCCACCAAAAUGAUGGGAAGCAGCAGACGAGAACAGAGAUGUCUACUCCAAAGUCCUCAGCCCUGCAAACUGCCCGGCUUUUUCAGUGAGUUGUAGCCAACGAGUACUAUUCAAGUGACAUCAAUGACUAGCAUUUAUUGAGAGGUUACGAUUUGCCAGGCUCUGCAUGGAGAGCUUUGUAAGCAUUGUUGCCUAACCCUCACAGAGCUCUAUGAGCCAGGGACAGUUAGUAUUUCCAUUUAUUUAGAGAGAAGCCUACCUGAUAUCAGAGAUCAAAAGCAACUCGUCCAAAGCCAUACAGAUAAUUACGUAGAGUGAGUGACUUCAGACUCCGUGUCCGUUGGUACAUGAAACCUGCUCCCCAAAUAUGUGACACAAAUAUUUGCACGUGGCCCAUUUCCUCAUCUAUGUCUUCCACGGGGCUCCGGCUUCCUAUGCCUCUCUGCCUGCUCUGCCGCCUUCUCAGCCAGGCCAUGUCUGGCCAUGAGGUGAUGCCCUAACAUGGCCUAAAAUGAAAUGUGGGGGCUGUCGUGUGUUCACCCGAGAAAUGUUAAAAGGAGAUUUUUUUUUCCAUUGAUUUACUCAUGGAGCUAAAUUGAAAUGAUAUCCAUUUGGAUGAACAAAAAUGAAGACUCAGCACCCCCUUCGAUGAUCCAACAGCAAGUGACCCUUACUAAAAAGGUCGUCCGAUUCAAAAUGCCAUCUCCAGGUGCCAGAUUUGCAGAACUAAGAAACCUACUCUUUGAUGAUAGAAUUUUUUCAAAGCACCGACAUCCCAUACAAGUGAAGUGGACACAACCCCCAUCUUAUCAGUUCCCACGCAUGUAGGUGCGGGCUCUGGAGUGUUUCAUCAGGUUUGCAGAGAAAAUACUGAUCCAUCCCUCUGACUCCCUCUCCUCCAAUGAUUCCUAACACAGUCAUUCCUACAAAUUCCUGACAACUGACUCCCACAAAGGCCUUCAACAAUCCAGCCUUAGACACAUGCAAAUACUUCCUGUAGGUAUUGAAAUGUAACUUUCUUCAUAAACCUUUGGGAGUUUUGCUAACUCACAGGCUAUUCUUAACCUUUAUUAUAGAAGAGGAAUGCACUCAAUUUCCCAAAAAGAAACAAUGAAGAUGAUCAGGAAAGCAAAUAUUUGUUUUCAGGCUUUAGAAGUGUGAGAAAGUGUUCUGGAGAAUCCAUUUAGAUCCCAUGCCAACUCUUAGCCCUCCAGAAGAGAACAUGCCCUCCCUAACAAAUUAGACGUGGACAAUGUGUUUAGAUGUUGAUCUUUUGCCACAAGGAAAAAUAUUUCUUUGCUAGCAACAGGUUCACAAAGGUAGAAAAACCUCAGGCUCCUUUUCAGUUGCCUCUCCCAUGACAGGUGAAGAGUGUCAUUCCCCAGGUGACACUAGGGACAGUGUCUAUGACAGGGGCUUGAUGGCCGUGGCUCAGAGAGAGUAAAGUGCCAGUCCAUCACCAUAAAUGCAACAGGUUCAAGCACAGACCACAACCACAAAUUACAAGGGACACCUUGAGAGAAACGCAUGCAGGGGGAAGAGUGCCAUGCAGCUUUUAAAUGACAGGCACGUGCUCACAGGCUUCUGUUCAGAGAGAACCUGUGAGCUGUCCUGUGGCCUUUCCUGUUUACGGUGCAGCCAUCCCAAAUAUGAUGCCCCCAAAUCCGAGUCUGGCUAGAAGGAAGUGUCAUACAAAGGCCAUGCCAUUCUCCCUGACAAAAGACAUGAGUUUCUUGCAAGAGCACUAAGAAGUUUUAAGAGGUGGACUCGAAGAGAGGAGAAUGAAUUGGAAAGCCAGCAAGAAUGUGGCUCUUACUCCUCUGUGAAAUAUUUGCAGGAACGAGCCUGGAGACCAGCAGGUUCAGGAUGGAAAGCUGGAAAGAAUUCUUUCCUAAAACUUAAGUUUUAGAGAAAAAUAGGCAGCCAGUCCCAACCACCCAAAGGCGUCCAAAGCCAUGUUUGUUCUGGGAAGGCCAAGGCAUGGGAGGAUGUUAACUUGGGCUAUCAGCAGGAUUGAAGGGCAGGGUGACCUUGGUACGCUCUCAGGGCCUGUGUUUCCAAGUCGACAAACUGUUCUGAGCUUUUCCAUGAAACGAGUGAAGCCCUUUUCAUACCUCCUUCGUGUUCCAGAAUUCUUGCCAUCGAUGUUCCAAAGGAUCUGUGAUAGAUUUAUGUCUAGCCUUAAAUGGGACGAGUUGUAACAUUCAGAAUUAUUUUAUCUUUCUGAGACCUGCUAUUAUUGUGAGACCCUAGACAUGCUUUGCUGGGGUUAGGGUGAGGGUACUCCUAACGAGGGAAGGAAAAAGAAACGGCUUCAAGGCAAUCCAUGUGGGUCAUUACAUGCACACUUGUUCCAUCUUCCAUUUGUGCCUGCCCAAAGCGUUCUAGAACUGACCGGACCUGAGAGGCUGUCUCAUUAGAACUAAGAGAAGGUAUUGUUGAUGAUGUCUUAUAUCCAUGGAAGAAUUCCCUGGGCAUUCCCUCUGAUGCUGCCUGGGAUACCUACAUUGCUCAAAGUACAGUUUCUUUAUGAAUAGGGAUGAAACAUCGCAUUGGGGUAUCUAUUCUUCCAUGGUUGGUUUGAAAUAGCCAAGCAGAAGUGCCAUAGAAAUUUGCCAACAAAAUAAGCAUCUAACUGAUAGUGUCGUCCUUCUACAUGGAACAAAUCUGAUGGCAUGUCACUGAAAUUUUCCAACUGGGCCACCUUGAUGCCCGUGCUAAAGGACUGCUGGGUGUUUAUAAGAUAUAAAAGAAGAUAUUUAGUGUGUGUUUAUUUGAAACAUUUUACAUUUUUACUCUACUUCUUUAACCUCUGUUAUGGUUAUAGCUAGCUCGUGUACUGCGUAUAAAUGUAUGCAUCUGUAUUCGCCAUCUACACCAAAAUAAACCUUUGAAAUUAUUGCCAGGCAGAAUUAAUGAGCUCAGUUCUAACAGCGCAAAGAAUAUCUUCAUACUACAGGUAAAACAAACAGCUUCUCCCUUCCCUUCUUCUGCACAGAAUGGCUCUACGAAGUCUGCCUGCAAAAUUACGUCUUUUAGAAAACCAAGUAGCUGGCUGUUUUGUGAGCAGGGAGGAUUUCAGGACGAACCACAAACAAGCUGUUUGUUUAGAUUUUAAGGUUGACAGUUCAUUUACACGUAUGCCCCAUAAGUAUUCUAUAACAUAGUCCUGAAAAAGCACUGAAGAAAAAAAAAAAAAAAAACACAAGGUCUCCGCUGGGGCCACAUCAUGGGAAGGAAUUAACUCUUAACUCUGCCUUCCAGAAACAAAUUAAGAGGAUGUACUUUGCAAUAAUUCAGAUCUCACAGGUAGGCCCCCAAUGUCCAGCCCCGCUAUUUCAAAUCGGGCAUGUCUGAGUUAGGUGUGUGGAUUUCCAUACAGAGCUCACUGGAACAGACCAUUUCUCAGGUUCCAAGACGCUGGCCUUGUUAAUAUUUCAUUUAGAACAUACUGUGGAGAGUGUCUCAUUUAUAUUACUUCCAUAAUUAAUGGUGAUAGCUUAGGCACUGCCUUUACACAGAGAGAUCUCUUCACAGUGGUCGAUGGGUAAUGAGAAACAAUAGAUAUUUCAUUCACCAGCAGCGUGUUGCUAGUUAGUAGGAAAUGAUCGUGUGUGCUGUUGCUUUAAUUGCCCGGGUAAAUAAUUCUGCCUCGGUGUUAGUGAGCAUUUUAAAGCACUUGAUGCCAAUAGACUAGAAACAAACAAAAAUUAACCUUGAUUAUGCAACACCUUAGCAUAGAAAGUUACAAAGGUAUGUCUUUUUUAAAGUUUGCAUUCUAUCAUGCAAAUAUUAUCUAAAUAUGCAUGUGCUGACUACUCAUCUACUGUAUUUUAGGAAAUACAAUUAGGCUGCCUUUCUCUUCCCCUAUGUAGACUGUAAAUAACUGUAGAUCUUUCUCUUGUUUCCCUAUGUAAAUAUAUGUAAAUACUAACAAGCUAUGCAUGCUGCUAUUCUAGGCAAUUUCAGGUACUUUUAUAAUAUGAAGGCAUGUACUUGAACUCGUUUGUUAACAGAGGGGAAAAAACUCUCUCAAACUCUUUAAAGCUGAAUAGAAAUUAAAGAUUUCUUCCUA
This 4116-nucleotide long non-coding RNA is filed under the name Homo sapiens (human). RNAcentral's name for it is "novel transcript, antisense to WWOX". The record is from RNAcentral. Lineage: Eukaryota; Metazoa; Chordata; Mammalia; Primates; Hominidae.